RNAcentral lists this ribosomal RNA (821 nucleotides) under Escherichia coli. RNAcentral describes it as "partial 23S ribosomal RNA". It matches the Rfam family "Bacterial large subunit ribosomal RNA", at positions 612 to 1432 of the family's 2925-position model. Lineage: Bacteria; Pseudomonadati; Pseudomonadota; Gammaproteobacteria; Enterobacterales; Enterobacteriaceae. The record is from RNAcentral.
AUAAUGGGUCAGCGACUUAUAUUCUGUAGCAAGGUUAACCGAAUAGGGGAGCCGAAGGGAAACCGAGUCUUAACUGGGCGUUAAGUUGCAGGGUAUAGACCCGAAACCCGGUGAUCUAGCCAUGGGCAGGUUGAAGGUUGGGUAACACUAACUGGAGGACCGAACCGACUAAUGUUGAAAAAUUAGCGGAUGACUUGUGGCUGGGGGUGAAAGGCCAAUCAAACCGGGAGAUAGCUGGUUCUCCCCGAAAGCUAUUUAGGUAGCGCCUCGUGAAUUCAUCUCCGGGGGUAGAGCACUGUUUCGGCAAGGGGGUCAUCCCGACUUACCAACCCGAUGCAAACUGCGAAUACCGGAGAAUGUUAUCACGGGAGACACACGGCGGGUGCUAACGUCCGUCGUGAAGAGGGAAACAACCCAGACCGCCAGCUAAGGUCCCAAAGUCAUGGUUAAGUGGGAAACGAUGUGGGAAGGCCCAGACAGCCAGGAUGUUGGCUUAGAAGCAGCCAUCAUUUAAAGAAAGCGUAAUAGCUCACUGGUCGAGUCGGCCUGCGCGGAAGAUGUAACGGGGCUAAACCAUGCACCGAAGCUGCGGCAGCGACGCUGAUGCGUUGUUGGGUAGGGGAGCGUUCUGUAAGCCUGUGAAGGUGUGCUGUGAGGCAUGCUGGAGGUAUCAGAAGUGCGAAUGCUGACAUAAGUAACGAUAAAGCGGGUGAAAAGCCCGCUCGCCGGAAGACCAAGGGUUCCUGUCCAACGUUAAUCGGGGCAGGGUGAGUCGACCCCUAAGGCGAGGCCGAAAGGCGUAGUCGAUGGGAAACAGGUUA